RNAcentral lists this unclassified non-coding RNA (245 nucleotides) under plant metagenome. RNAcentral describes it as "partial contains small subunit ribosomal RNA, internal transcribed spacer 1, and 5.8S ribosomal RNA". The record is from RNAcentral.
UCUCCGUUGGUGAACCAGCGGAGGGAUCAUUACCGAGUUUACAACUCCCAAACCCAAUGUGAACGUUACCAAACUGUUGCCUCGGCGGGGCCACGCCCCGGGUGCGUCGCAGCCCCGGAACCAGGCGCCCGCCGGAGGAACCAACCAAACUCUUUCUGUAGUCCCCUCGCGGACGUUAUUUCUUACAGCUCAGAGCAAAAAUUCAAAAUGAAUCAAAACUUUCAACAACGGAUCUCUUGGUUCUG